This 506-nucleotide ribosomal RNA is filed under the name uncultured bacterium. Its description in RNAcentral is "partial 16S ribosomal RNA". It matches the Rfam family "Bacterial small subunit ribosomal RNA", at positions 28 to 523 of the family's 1533-position model. The record is from RNAcentral.
GAUGAACGCUAGCUACAGGCUUAACACAUGCAAGUCGAGGGGUAACGAGAGGAAAGCUUGCUUUCCUUGUCGACGACCGGCGCACGGGUGGGUAACGCGUAUCCAACCUGCCCCCAACUAGGGAAUAACCUUGCGAAAGUAAGACUAAUACCCUAUAAUUUCCUCAGAUGUCAUCUGACGAGGAAUAAAGAUUUAUCGGUUGUGGAUGGGGAUGCGUCUGAUUAGCUUGUUGGCGGGGUAACGGCCCACCAAGGCAACGAUCAGUAGGGGUUCUGAGAGGAAGGUCCCCCACAUUGGAACUGAGACACGGUCCAAACUCCUACGGGAGGCAGCAGUGAGGAAUAUUGGUCAAUGGGCGGAAGCCUGAACCAGCCAAGUAGCGUGCAGGAUGACGGCCCUAUGGGUUGUAAAUUGCUUUUAUACAGGAAUAAAGUUAGCCACGUGUGGUUAUUUGUAGGUACUGUAUGAAUAAGGACCGGCUAAUUCCGUGCCAGCCGCCGCAGUAA